This 524-nucleotide ribosomal RNA is filed under the name Bifidobacterium longum subsp. infantis. Its description in RNAcentral is "bacterial SSU rRNA". It matches the Rfam family "Bacterial small subunit ribosomal RNA", at positions 161 to 700 of the family's 1533-position model. Lineage: Bacteria; Bacillati; Actinomycetota; Actinomycetes; Bifidobacteriales; Bifidobacteriaceae. RNAcentral also lists the same sequence under 1 other name. The record is from RNAcentral.
UGGUAAUGCCGGAUGUUCCAGUUGAUCGCAUGGUCUUCUGGGAAAGCUUUCGCGGUAUGGGAUGGGGUCGCGUCCUAUCAGCUUGACGGCGGGGUAACGGCCCACCGUGGCUUCGACGGGUAGCCGGCCUGAGAGGGCGACCGGCCACAUUGGGACUGAGAUACGGCCCAGACUCCUACGGGAGGCAGCAGUGGGGAAUAUUGCACAAUGGGCGCAAGCCUGAUGCAGCGACGCCGCGUGAGGGAUGGAGGCCUUCGGGUUGUAAACCUCUUUUAUCGGGGAGCAAGCGUGAGUGAGUUUACCCGUUGAAUAAGCACCGGCUAACUACGUGCCAGCAGCCGCGGUAAUACGUAGGGUGCAAGCGUUAUCCGGAAUUAUUGGGCGUAAAGGGCUCGUAGGCGGUUCGUCGCGUCCGGUGUGAAAGUCCAUCGCUUAACGGUGGAUCCGCGCCGGGUACGGGCGGGCUUGAGUGCGGUAGGGGAGACUGGAAUUCCCGGUGUAACGGUGGAAUGUGUAGAUAUCGG